This 1165-nucleotide ribosomal RNA is filed under the name uncultured human oral bacterium A4. Its description in RNAcentral is "bacterial SSU rRNA". It matches the Rfam family "Bacterial small subunit ribosomal RNA", at positions 353 to 1515 of the family's 1533-position model. The record is from RNAcentral.
AGUGGGGAAUAUUGCACAAUGGGCGCAAGCCUGAUGCAGCGACGCCGCGUGAGGGAUGGAGGCCUUCGGGUUGUGAACCUCUUUCGCCAGUGAAGAAGGUCCUGCUCUUUGUGGUGGGGUUGACGGUAGCUGGGUUAAUGAAGCGCCGGCUAACUACGUGCCAGCAGCCGCGGUAAUACGUAGGGCGCGAGCGUUGUCCGGAAUUAUUGGGCGUAAAGGGCUUGUAGGCGGCUGGUCGCGUCUGCCGUGAAAUCCUCUGGCUCAGCUGGGGGCGUGCGGUGGGUACGGGCUGGCUUGAGUGCGGUAGGGGAGACUGGAACUCCUGGUGUAGCGGUGGAAUGCGCAGAUAUCAGGAGGAACACCGGUGGUGAAGGCGGGUCUCUGGGCCGUUACUGACGCUGAGGAGCGAAAGCGUGGGGAGCGAACAGGAUUAGAUACCCUGGUAGUCCACGCUGUAAACGUUGGGCACUAGGUGUGGGGGGCCUUUUCCGGGUUUUCCGCGCCGUAGCUAACGCAUUAAGUGCCCCGCCUGGGGAGUACGGCCGCAAGGCUAAAACUCAAAGGAAUUGACGGGGGCCCGCACAAGCGGCGGAGCAUGCGGAUUAAUUCGAUGCAACGCGAAGAACCUUACCAAGGCUUGACAUGGGCUGGAUUGCUUCGGAGACGGGGUUUCCCUUUUUUGGGCUGGUUCACAGGUGGUGCAUGGUUGUCGUCAGCUCGUGUCGUGAGAUGUUGGUUAAGUCCCGCAACGAGCGCAACCCUUGUCUCGUGUUGCCAGCACGUUGUGGUGGGGACUCGCGGGAGACUGCCGGGGUUAACUCGGAGGAAGGUGGGGAUGACGUCAAAUCAUCAUGCCCCUUAUGUCUUGGGCUUCACGCAUGCUACAAUGGCCGGUACAGUGGGUUGCGAUGCUGUGAGGCGGAGCGAAUCCCUGAAAGCCGGUCUCAGUUCGGAUCGGUGUCUGCAACUCGACACCGUGAAGUUGGAGUCGCUAGUAAUCGCAGAUCAGCAGCGCUGCGGUGAAUACGUUCUCGGGCCUUGUACACACCGCCCGUCACGUCAUGAAAGCUGGCAACACCCGAAGCCCGUGGCCUUAUGGGGAGCGGUCGAAGGUGGGCUGGUGAUUGGGACGAAGUCGUAACAAGGUAGCCGUACCGGAAGGUGC